Molecule: ribosomal RNA, 622 nt
Filed under: uncultured bacterium
Lineage: Bacteria
Description: bacterial SSU rRNA
Rfam family: Bacterial small subunit ribosomal RNA
Source: RNAcentral
CAAAGGAGCAAUCCGCUGAAAGAUGGGCUCGCGUCCGAUUAGGUAGUUGGCGGGGCAACGGCCCACCAAGCCGACGAUCGGUAGCCGGACUGAGAGGUUGAACGGCCACAUUGGGACUGAGACACGGCCCAGACUCCUACGGGAGGCAGCAGUGAGGGAUAUUGGUCAAUGGGGGAAACCCUGAACCAGCAACGCCGCGUGAGGGAAGACGGUUUUCGGAUUGUAAACCUCUGUCCUCUGUGAAGAUGAUGACGGUAGCAGAGGAGGAAGCUCCGGCUAACUACGUGCCAGCAGCCGCGGUAAUACGUAGGGAGCAAGCGUUGUCCGGAUUUACUGGGUGUAAAGGGUGCGUAGGCGGCUUUGCAAGUCAGAAGUGAAAUCCAUGGGCUUAACCCAUGAACUGCUUUUGAAACUGCAGAGCUUGAGUGGAGUAGAGGUAGGCGGAAUUCCCGGUGUAGCGGUGAAAUGCGUAGAGAUCGGGAGGAACACCAGUGGCGAAGGCGGCCUGCUGGGCUCUAACUGACGCUGAGGCUCGAAAGCGUGGGUAGCAAACAGGAUUAGACACCCUGGUAGUCCACGCUGUAAACGAUGAUUACUAGGUGUGGGUGGACUGACCCCAUCC